GUGGGUGUAGCUUGCUGGUGGAGCACAUGCUUUAUAUGCACGAGGCUCUGGGUUCAAUCCCUAGCACUGAGA
This 72-nucleotide transfer RNA is filed under the name Heterocephalus glaber (naked mole-rat). It matches the Rfam family "tRNA". Rfam says of the family: Transfer RNA (tRNA) molecules are approximately 80 nucleotides in length. Lineage: Eukaryota; Metazoa; Chordata; Mammalia; Rodentia; Bathyergidae. The record is from Rfam by way of RNAcentral.